GGCUUUUGGAAAUAAUGUCAUCAUUUUGCACAAAUUAGUAUAACGCAAGUAACACUUAGUUUUAGUGUAGUUUUAGCAAAGUGCUUUCUUAAAGCAUUUACUUAUGGCUAAUGCAGCGUCUUAAUUCGUCUACCUUUCCAGCUACAAGUAGUUCGUUUACCAACACACAUGGUACGGUAUAGUUUCCAUAUUUGAAACAAUGUUGUAUUUCUAUGGGAUUAUCACACUCGAUCGGUUCUUCCUCCUGAGCGAGACAAAGUAUUGCAACCAAAAUAAAUCGCAGAGGACCACAACUAGUUUCAUUGCAGAGGCACACGAUUUUACUUAGAUUCUCAGCAGACGAUAUAAUAUUUAUUUAUAAUUUAGUAGAAAUUGGAAUGAAAAAGUUACUGAAUUACAUGGAAUGUCAAUAUCUGUCGAGAAAUUUGCAAUAAAUGAGUAUUCUAGA
Molecule: long non-coding RNA, 448 nt
Organism: Zophobas morio
Lineage: Eukaryota; Metazoa; Arthropoda; Insecta; Coleoptera; Tenebrionidae
Exons: 2
Source: RefSeq, a predicted model, not a curated record